GAUUGGUGCUUGCAUCAUGAUUUACAUUUGAGUGAGUGGCGAACUGGUGAGUAACACGUGGGAAACCUGCCCAGAAGCGGGGGAUAACACCUGGAAACAGAUGCUAAUACCGCAUAACAACUUGGACCGCAUGGUCCGAGAUUGAAAGAUGGCUUCGGCUAUCACUUUUGGAUGGUCCCGCGGCGUAUUAGCUAGAUGGUGGGGUAACGGCUCACCAUGGCAAUGAUACGUAGCCGACCUGAGAGGGUAAUCGGCCACAUUGGGACUGAGACACGGCCCAAACUCCUACGGGAGGCAGCAGUAGGGAAUCUUCCACAAUGGACGAAAGUCUGAUGGAGCAACGCCGCGUGAGUGAAGAAGGGUUUCGGCUCGUAAAACUCUGUUGUUAAAGAAGAACAUAUCUGAGAGUAACUGUUCAGGUAUUGACGGUAUUUAACCAGAAAGCCACGGCUAACUACGUGCCAGCAGCCGCGGUAAUACGUAGGUGGCAAGCGUUGUCCGGAUUUAUUGGGCGUAAAGCGAGCGCAGGCGUUUUUUAAGUCUGAUGUGAAAGCCUUCGGCUCAACCGAAGAAGUGCAUCGGAAACUGGGAAACUUGAGUGCAGAAGAGGACAGUGGAACUCCAUGUGUAGCGGUGAAAUGCGUAGAUAUAUGGAAGAACACCAGUGGCGAAGGCGGCUGUCUGGUCUGUAACUGACGCUGAGGCUCGAAAGUAUGGGUAGCAAACAGGAUUAGAUACCCUGGUAGUCCAUACCGUAAACGAUGAAUGCUAAGUGUUGGAGGGUUUCCGCCCUUCAGUGCUGCAGCUAACGCAUUAAGCAUUCCGCCUGGGGAGUACGGCCGCAAGGCUGAAACUCAAAGGAAUUGACGGGGGCCCGCACAAGCGGUGGAGCAUGUGGUUUAAUUCGAAGCUACGCGAAGAACCUUACCAGGUCUUGACAUACUAUGCAAAUCUAAGAGAUUAGACGUUCCCUUCGGGGACAUGGAUACAGGUGGUGCAUGGUUGUCGUCAGCUCGUGUCGUGAGAUGUUGGGUUAAGUCCCGCAACGAGCGCAACCCUUAUUAUCAGUUGCCAGCAUUAAGUUGGGCACUCU
RNAcentral lists this ribosomal RNA (1093 nucleotides) under Lactiplantibacillus plantarum. RNAcentral describes it as "bacterial SSU rRNA". It matches the Rfam family "Bacterial small subunit ribosomal RNA", at positions 71 to 1141 of the family's 1533-position model. Lineage: Bacteria; Bacillati; Bacillota; Bacilli; Lactobacillales; Lactobacillaceae. The record is from RNAcentral.